RNAcentral lists this small RNA (539 nucleotides) under Pongo abelii (Sumatran orangutan). Its description in RNAcentral is "retained intron". Lineage: Eukaryota; Metazoa; Chordata; Mammalia; Primates; Hominidae. The record is from RNAcentral.
GCUCAUUAAGCAGGGGAAAGGAAAAACACCUCCUUGGGUUGAUCUGAAUAAUAUCAAAGCUUAGAUCCAUCUUAAAAAGUCAUGGAGAAUUUUAACCUGAGGAUCUCAUGGCUCUAAAGACAUAGAUUUCUGGAUUUCAAGGACCUAUUGUCCAGAGCCAGGCCUUGCUCUUACUCUUGGACCAUUCAGCACAUUUAGUCCAAGAGGAUAUUCAAUUACUCUCAAAAAGAAGACAAAUAUGAGGAAGAAAUCAAGAUUCUUACUGAUAAACUCAAGGAGGCAGAGACCCGUGCUGAGUUUGCUGAGAGAUCGGUAGCCAAGCUGGAAAAGACAAUUGAUGACUUGGAAGAUAAACUGAAAUGCACCAAAGAGGAGCACCUCUGUACACAAAGGAUGCUGGACCAGACCCUGCUUGACCUGAAUGAGAUGUAGAACGCCCCAGUCCCACCCUGCUGCUGCUCCUCCCUCUGACCCAGACUCCGCCUGAGGCCAGCCUGCCGGAAGCUGACCUUUAACUGAGGGCCGAUCUUUAACUGGAA